RNAcentral lists this ribosomal RNA (468 nucleotides) under uncultured bacterium. RNAcentral's name for it is "partial 16S ribosomal RNA". It matches the Rfam family "Bacterial small subunit ribosomal RNA", at positions 28 to 507 of the family's 1533-position model. The record is from RNAcentral.
GACGAACGCUGGCGGCGUGCUUAACACAUGCAAGUCGAACGGAAAGGCCCUGCUUUUGUGGGGUGCUCGAGUGGCGAACGGGUGAGUAACACGUGAGUAACCUGCCCUUGACUUUGGGAUAACUUCAGGAAACUGGGGCUAAUACCGGAUAGGAGCUCCUGCUGCAUGGUGGGGGUUGGAAAGUUUCGGCGGUUGGGGAUGGACUCGCGGCUUAUCAGCUUGUUGGUGGGGUAGUGGCUUACCAAGGCUUUGACGGGUAGCCGGCCUGAGAGGGUGACCGGCCACAUUGGGACUGAGAUACGGCCCAGACUCCUACGGGAGGCAGCAGUGGGGAAUAUUGCACAAUGGGGGAAAGCCUGAUGCAGCAACGCCGCGUGCGGGAUGACGGCCUUCGGGUUGUAAACCGCUUUCGCCUGUGACGAAGCGUGAGUGACGGUAAUGGGUAAAGAAGCACCGGCUAACUACGUG